UACGUAGGAUGCAAGCGUUGUCCGGAAUUAUUGGGCGUAAAGAGCGAGCAGGCGGUCUGGAAAGUUGGACGUGAAAUUUUAGGGCUUAACCCUAAAGGGGCGUCCAAAACUCCCAGACUAGAGUGCAGGAGAGGAAAGCGGAAUUCCCGGUGUAGUGGUGAAAUGCGUAGAGAUGUGGAGGAACACCGAUGGCGAAGGCAGCCCCCUGGGUCAAGAUUGACGCUCAUGCACGAAAGCGUGGGGAGCAAACAGG
This 253-nucleotide ribosomal RNA is filed under the name uncultured bacterium. Its description in RNAcentral is "partial 16S ribosomal RNA". It matches the Rfam family "Bacterial small subunit ribosomal RNA", at positions 524 to 776 of the family's 1533-position model. The record is from RNAcentral.